GUGCUCACUUCAGCAGCACACAUGCUAAAAUUUGAAUGAUACAGAGAAGAUUCAGCAUGGCCCCUGCACAAGGAUGACAUGCAAAUCUAUGAAGGGUUCCAUGUUUUA
This 108-nucleotide small nuclear RNA is filed under the name Castor canadensis (American beaver). Lineage: Eukaryota; Metazoa; Chordata; Mammalia; Rodentia; Castoridae. The record is from RNAcentral.